UGCACCUACCGAAAACACAAAAGAAAUGUGUUGUUGAAUUAAUCAACAAACAUGUUCUUGAUACAACUUCUUGUUGUACCUACCAAAAACAUGUUCUUUACAUUCAUUUCGAGAUCUGCCUUUUAAUUUUAUUAAAUCUGAAUUCCGAAUCUCACAUACUGAGUAUAUUGUCUUCGUACCAAGUAGAAGUAGAAGUUGAACGGCCCAAAAGAUAAUCCAGUGAGUGCAGUCGGCAAGUUACUGCGAUUUAUUCUUUUUGAAUUUCACAACGGCCAGUCUCCCUCCACCAUCUCUCUCUGUAAUGCACUUUUCUCCUCCUUGUCAACUGUAUGACUGUUUCCUUCCUCUCUUGCACUUAGGGUUAGGGUUUUCUUCUCCACUACAUCUCUCGCUGAAAGCUGUUCUCUUUCUCGAUGUUUGCUCACCAUUCUUAACCGGAGAUCAACACCAAUCAGAUUGGUGAAGACCAUCUCUCUGCCUCCGCAGGUCACAUUCCUUUCAACGAGAUAGAAGAAAUCCCCAAUCAUCCAUGUACCCAGCCACCGGAAGGACCUAAUCAGCUGACGAUCUCGUUACGUUUUCGAUGAUGUUGCUCGGUCGAUGCUGCGUUGUAGCUAUUGGGUGGUUCUACUGAGCCGCAGGGGAUGGAGAUAGCUCAACAGAAUCAUAUGGUAACUUUUGUUGUUUCUAUGUGUUUCGAACCGGUGUAGCAAUCCGCGCAGUCCUUGGAUAGGUUUCGAAAGAAGAGGAAUGCUAGAUGUUUCGAGAACAAAGUUAGAUACCAGGAAGUGGCUUUCAUUUUAUGAUACACCUGCGGACGAGACGACUCUUUGAGUUUACCAAGUUCUUAGGCCUAGGGGUACCCUUAGUAUUAAGGUAGCUUUGUUGCACGUGGGAUAUUAGCAGAGUCCUGAGUAGUAUCUGUUAGGAACUAGGAUUAUACAAUGGUUGCUUCUUUGAACAUAUUUCUUUUGCAUUCCUUGGAUCAAUAACGUAGUAUUCUUGUAUAGAGCUAAGCUGGAAAGUUUCUCUCUCUCUCUGCUCUGCUCUGCUCUGGUUUGUUAAUUCUUCCUCAUACUUGUGUGCUAUAGGUUAAAAAACCUGCUUCUAUUCAAACUAGUUCACUACUUUUUUGUUAACAAGUUUGGCGACCAUAUAGGUUAUUUUUUAGUGGCUCCGGUUUCAAUGUCCAUAUGAGAAAUAAUCUCAAUAACAUAACUACAGCUAAUGUUCAAACCUUACAUAUAUAGUGUCAUAUAAACACAAACGAUUGAGAAGAAAGAAUCUCACAUGUUACUUAAGUUGGCUUGGGAUCUCAUCAACAUCACCAGUAACAUCUUCCAACUCUCGCAGUGAAGAAGGUGCUCACGGGGAUAUUCUCGGCGUUUUCUUCAUCCCCGACUUCCUUUUGCUGCGCAUACACUUCUUUCACGAUCUUCUCAUUUAGCUGAAGAAACAAAACUAUUAGAAAUCAAAACUAAUAAUAUAUUUAUGAUUACUUCUUUACAGACAGAUUGUGGAGAGUUAAACAUGUCUAGUACAUUAGGUGUGAGUCUGACACAUAAAAAAAAGCACUACUAAUAAGAUGGUUGGGUGAGGAAUGAAAGGAAGGUGUCCUUUAUCUUUACUUCUCGUGGGUUAAUAACCUAAGGAUCAAUUGUGUUUUUCCAUCCUUCAAAAUCUAUGGGAGAACCAGCAUCAAGCAGCUCGAACACAUUCACAUAGAAGGUUGGUGUUGAGGAAACUCCUCUUGAAACGCUAUACUGCAAUUCAGAACAAAGGCAAAACAAUUUUUAGAGUGGACCAAACUUAUCAUGAAAGCUAAGUAAUGAGUAAUGACAGAUAGUAAGGCAAGCUAUUAGAACUCAAGCUUCUACUGCAAGUCUGCAAACAAAAAUAAUGAUUAAUGAGUAGUGACUAUGCAGUGAAGGAUCCAUAUCACUCCGUUUGGUUAUCUAGUCCAGGAUUACAGAGGACCGAACAGAAUAAGCCAUUUGAAUUCCUUGCCUAGUAAAGAUAAUAAAACUGAGAAGAUUAAGAAGCUGAAGGGAUCACCUUGAAGGAAACUCGAGUGUCAAGAUCAUAUUUUGAGUUGCGGAAGCCAGAUUUAAGAGGAUAGUGAUACGAGCUACCUAAUGUAACUGUCCCCAGUUUGACUAAUUUGUUCACAACUGCAGGUCUUGGCAUGAAUUGUGUUUGCGAGUUGUAGAACAGUGCCUGUUUUAAACAAAUAUCAACCAAAACCAUCAAUAAUCAUCUUAGACAAAUAUAAAACACCAGACAAAGGCUUCACUGAACCACAGUGAAUAUAUGACGCAUACAUAAACAUUCAUUUCAAGAAUGAAGAAACAGAACUGCUGUUACACAUUUUCUCUGUCAAAGUUUGGAUUUUAAAAUACACUUAUCGUACCUGGUGCUUGAAGAUCCCUUCCAGCAAACUGAACGUGGCAUUGGCGUUUAUGAUCUGGCCUAUAGCGAGAUCUGAAUUUACAUCCUCUGGAAGAAACAAUUCCUGGAGAGUUCCCAGUUCUGACUUUCACUUGGUAUUGAACUCAUAUAUUUAAGACGAGCAACCCACACACGAGACACCUGAGAGUUUUUAUUCGAAACUGGUUCCCAAACAAGCUCCUCGUUGCCUUUCAGCUCAGAAUCAAUCGCAACAGUAGACGAGCUUACUCCACCAACAGCUUGGUCAAAGUAAAGAAUCCGUUGAAAAGAAACCGACUCGGUGAGCUUAGAAGAAGAGUCAUUCAAGCACCCAGCACCAGAUAGAUUGAUAUUUGAUAUGUGAAGGCCAUGAGGAAGUGAGAAGAGGAGUCUCCACGUUAACAGUCUGAUCAAGAAGCCAGAGAUGGUAAAACCACCCAGCUUUGGUCGUCUUCGUCCGUAAAGAUAGCAUCAUGCACAAGCUGAAUCUUUUCAUUUGGCAUGAACCCCUCAGCCUUUCUCGCAAUCAAACUCGAAAGAAGCACACUGCAGAAUCAAAAGAGCUAAUAGUGUAACUAAAACAUGUAAAAAUCAGAAAUAGUGUAACUAAAACAUGUUACUCUAUGAAACUAUUUCAGGAGAGGGAAAACGAACAUACAUAGGACGGUAAAUCACAAUUCUAUCCGGUUUAAGCAUACUCUAUACAUUCAGUAUCUUAUAUCCCCAUCAGCAAGUAGUUAAGUACAUAGCGAUGAGCCCGACCUUACAUGUUAUUCUCUCAGCUACUUUUCAACAAAACCACCGUUGCUCAAGAACACAACCAAAGGAUAGAGCGCAUUGUUUAAGAACACAACCAAAGGAUAAAGCAGAAACACCUCAAACUUUAGAACUGAAGCAAGAAGCUUUUCGUACAAAUGUUUUCAUUAAUAAAUCUAAGCGGUUACAAAGCAAGAAACAGCAUCGUACAAACUACGAUGUGCGAACCAAACUAAAGCCCCGACAUAAAGUUCAAGGGAAUACAAGGAUAGAGACACAAACUUGAAUAAGUUUGAUAAAACGUUAAAACAGAGACAAACUGAUGCUCAUAGAGCUUAUCGAAACAAGAUGAAAUAGCUCAAAGAGCUUUAUUGUGCAGAGAAAUGAGAAAUGAGAAAUGAGAAAGGAGAAAGGAACAAGCUUGAGCUUGUCAUUCCGCUGCUGCCUCUCCCGAAGCCUCUUUUCUAGCAGCCUUCCUCUCUUUCUUUUGCUCCCGCCCAUACAAACCUUGCAUGUGUAGUGACAACAUAGGGUUUGGUUCAGCUGCCACUCCUCGUCGCAUCCGCAUCCGUCACACACUGUUUUUUUUGGAACCGCACCCGGGGUGAUGGGUACUCCUAUGGUUGAACUCUUCUGCGUCCUAUAUAUAUCGUCCCGACAUUGUUUUUGUUUGUUUGUGUGAGAGAAGAAGAGAGAGUCUCAAUAUAUAGAAGAAGAGAACUGGUGGGAUGACAUUUGAGAGACGAGAGAGUCUCAAUAUAUUGAAGAAGAGAACUGGUGGGAAGUCAUUUGCUUCAUUUAUUGGAGGGACCAACCCACUUUUGAAGUUUCAUUAGUAUAGGGGAAUCUUUUCAUUUUCCCUUUUUACUUGUUUCAUUGUUUCAGGAAAUAUAAUAAUUCAACAUACAUGCAGUAUCAAUCACUGGAACCGUAAAUCUUUUUCUCUAGACAAUAUUCAACUCAGAGGCAUAACGCACGAUAUCUUACAUUAUGAUAUUGAUUUUGUUAUAACAAAGAGAGCAUUAUCGCUAUCUUUCUCAGUAUUUUCUAUUAGUCUCCACUUUUCUUUUCUUCUUUGUUGUUAUGAAAAGAGACAACUAGUAUACUACUUCAAGCUAACAAGGAUACUGUAAUGACCCCAACCCUAGGUUUUGCCCAAAGGUCAAGUCAUUUUUCUUUAGAGAGAGAGAGAGAGAGAGAGAGAGAGAGAGAGAGAGAGAGAGAGAGAGAGGGAGGGAAGGAAGAAGCUCACCAAGAGUCCUCGCCGGAGCCACCGCACGCCAGGACGUCAUCAAGCUCGUCAUCACCAUCAACCGCAGCUCGAGGCCAUCAUCGUGUUCCUCUCGUCAAGACGAAGCCGUAGACACCAACCGCGUCGCGAUCGGAGCCUGGACGAAGCCGUACGCGCCCCCCAAAGAUUCGCCUCUGCGCGCGUGAGUUCCACGCGCCGCCGCCGGACCACCGUCCUCCGCCGCAGCGCUGCCGCCGGACCACCGUUCUCCGCCGCAGCUCCGCCGUCGCCGCCGGCCAACUUACCGAUUUGGAGUCCAUUUGAGCAGCUGGAGUUCAUAUAUACCACUUCUCUUCAUUGCUAAGGUGAGACCGAUGAGCAGGAGUGAUUUUUCGGACCGGUGCUAUUGGGCUUUUGGGCUUCUAUCGUUUUAUCGAUUUUAUCGUUAUCGGGCCUCUAGGCCUUUGGACUUUUAUCGUUAUGGUAUUUCGUAUUUUGGAUUCUCGGUUUAUGUCGUACCUUAUGUUUCGGAUUUUAUUUUAUAUUAUGGAAUUCAUGCGUGGAUGUGGACUUUCAAAUAUUUAUAUAUGGAUAUUUAAGAUAUUUGUAUU
Brassica napus (rape) is the source of this 5025-nucleotide long non-coding RNA. RefSeq lists it as uncharacterized. Lineage: Eukaryota; Viridiplantae; Streptophyta; Magnoliopsida; Brassicales; Brassicaceae. The record is from RefSeq and is a predicted model, not a curated record. The transcript is spliced from 5 exons.